This 466-nucleotide ribosomal RNA is filed under the name Peptostreptococcus stomatis. RNAcentral describes it as "bacterial SSU rRNA". It matches the Rfam family "Bacterial small subunit ribosomal RNA", at positions 28 to 479 of the family's 1533-position model. Lineage: Bacteria; Bacillati; Bacillota; Clostridia; Peptostreptococcales; Peptostreptococcaceae. The record is from RNAcentral.
GAUGAACGCUGGCGGCGUGCCUAACACAUGCAAGUCGAGCGAGGGUUUGCUCAGUAUUGAGUAUUCUAAAACUAGAAUGUUCAAUUCUGAGCAAAACCAAGCGGCGGACGGGUGAGUAACGCGUGGGUAACCUGCCCUAUACACAUGGAUAACAUACUGAAAAGUUUACUAAUACAUGAUAAUAUAUAUUUGUGGCAUCGCAGAUAUAUCAAAGUGUUAGCGGUAUAGGAUGGACCCGCGUCUGAUUAGCUAGUUGGUGAGAUAACUGCCCACCAAGGCGACGAUCAGUAGCCGACCUGAGAGGGUGAUCGGCCACAUUGGAACUGAGACACGGUCCAAACUCCUACGGGAGGCAGCAGUGGGGAAUAUUGCACAAUGGGCGAAAGCCUGAUGCAGCAACGCCGCGUGAACGAUGAAGGUCUUCGGAUCGUAAAGUUCUGUUGCAGGGGAAGAUAAUGACGGUCCC